AUUGCCCAGUGAAUGCAGGGUCAAUACUCUUCACGCUCUCCUUGCCCAUAGCCCCUCGGAGCCAGGGCCGGGGCUUGGAGGAGUCAGGAGAGGUGGAGACCCUGGAUUGCGCUCCCACCACAGUGUCUAGGGAUGAGAGGGGCUGCCUGCCUGGGAACCAGCUUGAGCCCUUUAUGGUUUCCUGUUGGUGCCUCCUUGACACAGGGCACAGGUUCAAGGCCCUCCCGUCUCUACCUGGAGCUGUCUCCAGCCUGCUGCCUGGCCUCGGGGCAUGAGCGGAGGAACGUGUGUCCCCACAGUGCCCGGGCCUGGGCUGCUGGUGGGAAUGAUGGUCUUUCCAGGAUGUCAGGGAGGCACACCCCACUGGGAAGCAGGAGGGAGAGUCCUUGGACUUGGGGGUUGGAGUUCAGGCCCCUGUUUUAUGAUGGAGAAAUGGAGGCCCCGAGAGGCCCAGAGGCUGGCCCAGAGGCUGACCCACAGGCCUACGGCAGAUUCGUGCCUGAGACGACCGUGGGUCCCAGGCCUCCUCUUUCCCUUCCAGGGCAUCCUGGCCUGAGGCCCGUGGAGCCGCUGGUGAUCCGUGAGUGGGCCUCAGGGGGUCUUGUGUCCAACUGAUAUGUCUGUGCUUGUUCUACAGAGGGCCCUUGGAUGGCAUCAGAGCUUACAAGGUGCCCCGACCGGUGAUGAACCAUGGGACCUCCUAGGAGUACUGUGCGGGCCGCCUUCGCUUCUCAGCUGCCCCUCAGGGUGCAUUGUACCCCCGCGGGAGCCAUGGAGGGAAGCUGUGAGAACGCCCACCUCUGCAUCAUGUCCUGUCGAGGGCCUGGGUCUCUCCUAAGCUGGAUCUAGGCCAUCCCUGAGCACAGGCUGUGGGAAAGAAAGCCUGGGAUGGGAGUGGGGGCCAUUCGCAGGUCUUCUGUUGUGCCACGAAGACCCGAACCCUCUUCAGAUCCCAGCCUGUCCUUCCCGUGUUGUAAGGCCCUAAACCAAAGGGGGCCCUCAGGCUUGAGUCAGACACAUGGGAUCUGGUCUCUCUGCUCAGUAACGAUGGCUCAUUGGGCAGCUGGCUAAGCUGCUCCAAGUCUCUGUUUUUGUGUUUGCAAAUGGGAAUGCCAUUCAGAAUUCCAGAAGCCUGGAGAGUAUCUGCCAGGGCCCUGUGCUAGGCACAGGGGCCCAGAAAUGGAUUCCAGGCUCCCUGCCCUGGGGGAGCCCAGUCCGGCCAAGGGGGCAGCUGUGUCUGGAGAGGCAGUGUACUCUCUGGGGCACCCAGCACAUGUGGGCACCGUCCUGGAGACCAGGAUUCCAGACAAUGCUGGUGGCAACAGUCCCAGCCUCUCAGGAGCCUGGGUCCAGCAGGAGAGAUGCCGGAUCCAGACCAGGAGCGGAGACCGAGUCGCAGGGCUGGCAAGGGCAGAGGCUUGGAAGAGAGGGAGAAGAACCCCUGGCGUCGCACCCACGUGGGCCUGAUCAUAGUUGAAGACCGCACGCUGGGGCCGGGGGGACCCCAGGAGAGCUGCGCUGCGUGUGUCUCCAUGGGAAAAUCGAGGCUCUGAGAGAAGACGUCCAAGAUACAGCAGUGGGCAGGGGGAGGAGGCCCACCCCCCUCAGCCGGGUCUCCACCCCCACGAUGCUGCACUCUGUUCAGAGAGGAGGAAUUGCUCCUGCCGUAACGUGAGCUGGACAGGAGACACUCUGCUGGAUACAGCCCACCUUUUCACAGAGGGAACAUUUUUCUCUUUGUAGUUGAAAGAAAGGAAUUACAGAGUACCAACUGUAUGCAGGAUGUAAUGAAGGAGGCAGUAUAGUCAAGGCAGGCCUCAUAUCCUGGAAAGACCACAGCUCCGGGUUCAAAUCUGGACACUGCCAGCUCCAUGGGAGCCUGUCUCCACAUCUGUGACCUGGGAGCCCUUGGCCCUGAGCAGAAGCAUCUCUGUGGGGACAGAGCGGGGUGAUUUGCAUGUGUCCAGUGUCUGACCGAUGCUCCUUCAGGUCUGCCUGCUUUUGGGACAGGAGUUGUGCCUAGCCCAGCACCUUCCGAGGAGCAGGGCUCAGUGGCUUCCGUCUGUUGGCCGCAUCCCAUUACAGAAAUAGCUCUUUGCAGAUGUGGCUUCACCAUGAACAGCAUUUCUCAAACCACGUUCCCAGAAACAUCUUGCUCCUCCUGGUGUGAACCAAGAAUUCUUAAGUCAAAGAUAUUCUCGGGAGACAUCAGAUCAAACACUUAGUGGCUUUUUAAAUUAAAUUAAAUUAAAAAAAAAUUUUUAAAGACAGAGUCUUGCUAUGUUACGCAGGCUGGACUGGAGCUCCUGGGCCCAAUCCUACCCACUCAGCCUCCCGAGUAGCUGGGAUUACAGGCAUCCCUCACCACGCCCGGCUCAAUGGCUUUGUACUUUUAUUUGCAGACUUUCUUAGAGCCCUUGAUGUGGCAAUGCAAAUGGUCAGGGAAUUCCCACUUUGCCAGUGUGUCAGCAGCCCUGGGCCUGGCACUUUGAGACAGGAGCUGAGUCAUACUCAUUUCCGUGUCUCAUGUCACUUUUGCACACAGGGAAACCCUAGCUGGCACCCUGCCCUCAGGGGGUGCCUGACAGUGGCCACUGAUUAAAAUAUGGGCUAAAAAGAAGCACUAAAACAACAACAUGCUGGAGAUCAGGGGAAGGGCCAAUUAUUUUCAAUCAGAGGAUCCAGGAAGACUGCCUGUAGGAGGAGACAUUGGAACUGAGCAUGAAGGAUGAGCCUAGAGACCAGGGCACACAGAAGAUUACACCUCAGCCUGUGCAGUGCGGACAGGGGCAGGUGACCGGCGCUGGUAAAUACAAAGUGAACAGAAGUGACAGUGGGAGCCUCUGGACGGCGGAGGAGGCUGCAGGGACUGGAUGGUGCAGCCACAAUAUGGUGGAGUCUUUGUCAGCCUGGAUCCCCGAGUGACCGCGUGGAGCAGUGUUCCCACAGGGGGCACUCAGUGUGAGCAAGAAAUAAACCUUAGUGUGUGCACC
This is a long non-coding RNA of Pongo pygmaeus (Bornean orangutan), 2993 nucleotides long. RefSeq lists it as uncharacterized. The transcript is spliced from 5 exons. The record is from RefSeq and is a predicted model, not a curated record. NCBI's taxonomy places the organism in Eukaryota, Metazoa, Chordata, Mammalia, Primates, Hominidae.